RNAcentral lists this ribosomal RNA (301 nucleotides) under uncultured bacterium. RNAcentral's name for it is "partial 16S ribosomal RNA". It matches the Rfam family "Bacterial small subunit ribosomal RNA", at positions 509 to 809 of the family's 1533-position model. The record is from RNAcentral.
CAGUAGCCACGGUAAUACGUAGGUGGCAAGCGUUGUCCGGAAUUAUUGGGCGUAAAGGGCUCGCAGGCGGUUUCUUAAGUCUGAUGUGAAAGCCCCCGGCUCAACCGGGGAGGGUCAUUGGAAACUGGGAAACUUGAGUGCAGAAGAGGAGAGUGGAAUUCCACGUGUAGCGGUGAAAUGCGUAGAGAUGUGGAGGAACACCAGUGGCGAAGGCGACUCUCUGGUCUGUAACUGACGCUGAGGAGCGAAAGCGUGGGGAGCGAACAGGAUUAGAUACCCCGGUAGUCCCUGUCUCUUAUAA